GCCAGGUGCAGUGGCACGCACCUGUAAUCCCAGCUACUCAGGAGGCUGAGGCAGGAGGUCAGCAAGUUGGGAGACCUUGUCUCAA
RNAcentral lists this small RNA (85 nucleotides) under Marmota monax (woodchuck). Lineage: Eukaryota; Metazoa; Chordata; Mammalia; Rodentia; Sciuridae. The record is from RNAcentral.